CUUAAUUAGGGAUGUCAAUGGGUAUGGAUACCCGAAAUUUAUCCGAACCUGAACCCGAAUGAAACAGAUAUAUCCGAUGGAUAUAGAUAUGGAUUUGGAUAUAAAUAUAAAAAAUAAAAACCCGACAGAUAUGGAUUCGGAUAUGAAUUUUGAUUGUACCCGACCCGAACCCGAACCCAAAUCCGAAUUUAUUUUGUAUUAUAUAAUAUAUAUAUAUAUAUAAAUUUGAUGUUAUAUUUGAAUUUGUAUUUUAAAAAUUUAAAUUUAAUAUAAUAUAUUUUGAAAUAUUGAAAAAAGAAAUAAUUGUUUCGGAUUCAAAUUUUCGGAUUCGGGUUCGGGUUUGGGUUUCAGAUUUUUGGUUGGGUUCGGGUUUGGAUAUAGAUUUUGUAAAUCCGUCGGGUUCAGGUUCGGGUUCAAGUUCGGGUCUCGGGUUUGGAGUCGGGUUCGGUUUCGGAUUUUUAAAAAUCCGCUCCGAAUCCGACCUGUUGACAUCUCUAGACUUAAUGGCCUCGACCGUUGUUCACCUCUUCCAACGACGUAAGACCGUUUCGUCUGUCAUUUAUUGCGAGAACAGUAUGAAUUCUAAAUCCGCAUAAGCAGCAAAUUGGGCGGCCUCACAUUGGAGACCGUUCCUACUCCUUUUUUCUCUACUGCCUAAUCGAUUAAGAUUAGAGUUGGCAAUCUAGCUCGUUGUUUGUGAAGUAAUUCGUGUUCGGCUCAAAAUGAGCUCGGGAUUGAUUGCUUGUUUAAUAAAAGAGUCAAAUACGAGCUGAAUUUUUCAGCUCAAGAUUUUAACGAACAAAACACGAGCUGGAUUCAACUCGUUUAACAAACGAGCCAACUCGUGUUCGGCUCAUUAAUAAACAAGCCGAACACGAGCUGAAUUUGUCAGCUCGAUAUUUUAAUGAGCUAGCUCGUGGUCGGCUCGUUUAACAAAUAAGCCAAACACAAGUCAGUCCCAGCUCACUCGUAUUCAGCUAGUUGACA
Molecule: long non-coding RNA, 987 nt
Filed under: Ananas comosus (pineapple)
Lineage: Eukaryota; Viridiplantae; Streptophyta; Magnoliopsida; Poales; Bromeliaceae
Description: long non-coding RNA (ACOM_LNC032943)
Source: RNAcentral